CCUACGGGAGGCAGCAGUGGGGAAUAUUGGGCAAUGGGCGCAAGCCUGACCCAGCAACGCCGCGUGAGGGAAGAAGGCUUUCGGGAUGUAAACUUCUUUGACAGGGGAAGAGACGAAGACGGUACCCUCAGAACAAGCUACGGCUAACUACGUGCCAGCAGCCGCGGUAAUACGUAGGUGGCGAGCGUUGUCCGGAUUUACUGGGUGUAAAGGGCGUGCAGCCGGGAGUACAAGUCAGAUGUGAAAUCCCGCGGCUCAACCGCGGAACUGCUUUUGAAACUGGAUUUCUUGAGUACUGGAGAGGCAGGCGGAAUUCCUAGUGUAGCGGUGAAAUGCGUAGAUAUUAGGAGGAACACCAGUGGCGAAGGCGGCCUGCUGGACAGUGACUGACGGUGAGGCGCGAAAGCGUGGGGAGCAAACAGGAUUAGAUACCCGAGUAGUC
This 442-nucleotide ribosomal RNA is filed under the name uncultured bacterium. Its description in RNAcentral is "partial 16S ribosomal RNA". It matches the Rfam family "Bacterial small subunit ribosomal RNA", at positions 338 to 795 of the family's 1533-position model. The record is from RNAcentral.